Long non-coding RNA from Larimichthys crocea (large yellow croaker), 422 nucleotides. RefSeq lists it as uncharacterized. The record is from RefSeq and is a predicted model, not a curated record. The transcript has 3 exons. Lineage: Eukaryota; Metazoa; Chordata; Actinopteri; Sciaenidae.
AUUUAAACUGUGGAAACCCUUUGAAAGCUGUUUGGCUCCCAUCAAGCCACCCUGUCUUAGUUUGUGUUGGAUUAUUGUCGAGUUGUUGGCUGAUCAUCAUCAAUAUUGCACUUCAUGGGGAAACUCAUGGCUGCACUCGCUCACACUCUUUGCCAACCAUGAGCUGAUAUUCACAUGCUGAUCUGCUGCUUAUCAAUGCCACGUACGGCGUCGGGCCUCGAGUGUUCGCUUCAAGCUCGAGGCGCUUCACUUCAGCAAGGUCAGUGUCGCGAAACGCUGCCCAAUACUCGAGAUGGUAGAUCCCAGCGGACUGGACCAAGAAUGAAAGACUGACAGAGAGGUGGAGAAAAAAAUAAUAAUAAAAUGAUGAGGAAGGGGAGCGGGGGGAGGGUCCUAUUGGACAGGAAAUAAAGUGUGCUGUC